RNAcentral lists this unclassified non-coding RNA (331 nucleotides) under soil metagenome. RNAcentral's name for it is "partial contains 5.8S ribosomal RNA, internal transcribed spacer 2, and large subunit ribosomal RNA". The stretch from base 1 to 120 matches the Rfam family "5.8S ribosomal RNA", at positions 35 to 154 of the family's 154-position model. The record is from RNAcentral.
GAUGAAGAACGUAGCGAAAUGCGAUACGUAAUGUGAAUUGCAGAUUUCAGUGAAUCAUCGAAUCUUUGAACGCACAUUGCGCCCGCUAGUAUUCUGGCGGGCAUGCCUGUUCGAGCGUCAUUUCAACCAUCAAGCCCUAGGCUUGCGUUGGAGCCCUGCGGCUGCCACAGGCUCCCAAAUCCAGUGGCGGGCUCGUCGUCGUACCGAGUGCAGUAAACAUCCUCGCUCAGGGAACGUGACGGGUUCUUGCCGUGAAACCCCCCACAUAUCAAGGUUGACCUCGGAUCAGGUAGGAAUACCCGCUGAACUUAAGCAUAUCAAUAGCGGAGGA